RNAcentral lists this ribosomal RNA (444 nucleotides) under uncultured bacterium. RNAcentral's name for it is "partial 16S ribosomal RNA". It matches the Rfam family "Bacterial small subunit ribosomal RNA", at positions 354 to 796 of the family's 1533-position model. The record is from RNAcentral.
GUGAGGAAUAUUGGUCAAUGGGCGGGAGCCUGAACCAGCCAAGUCGCGUGAAGGAAGAAGGAUCUAUGGUUCGUAAACUUCUUUUGCAGGGGAAUAAAGUGCAGGACGUGUCCUGUUUUGUAUGUACCCUGAGAAUAAGGAUCGGCUAACUCCGUGCCAGCAGCCGCGGUAAUACGGAGGAUCCGAGCGUUAUCCGGAUUUAUUGGGUUUAAAGGGUGCGUAGGUGGUUUGAUAAGUCAGCGGUGAAAGUUUGCAGCUUAACUGUAAAAAUGCCGUUGAAACUGUCGGACUUGAGUGUAAAUGAGGUAGGCGGAAUGCGUGGUGUAGCGGUGAAAUGCAUAGAUAUCACGCAGAACUCCGAUUGCGAAGGCAGCUUACUAAGCUACAACUGACACUGAAGCACGAAAGCGUGGGGAUCAAACAGGAUUAGAUACCCGAGUGUCC